Molecule: ribosomal RNA, 468 nt
Filed under: uncultured bacterium
Lineage: Bacteria
Description: partial 16S ribosomal RNA
Rfam family: Bacterial small subunit ribosomal RNA
Source: RNAcentral
GACGAACGCUGGCGGCGUGCUUAACACAUGCAAGUCGAACGGAAAGGCCCUGCUUUUGUGGGGUGCUCGAGUGGCGAACGGGUGAGUAACACGUGAGUAACCUGCCCUUGACUUUGGGAUAACUUCAGGAAACUGGGGCUAAUACCGGAUAGGAGCUCCUGCUGCAUGGUGGGGGUUGGAAAGUUUCGGCGGUUGGGGAUGGACUCGCGGCUUAUCAGCUUGUUGGUGGGGUAGUGGCUUACCAAGGCUUUGACGGGUAGCCGGCCUGAGAGGGUGACCGGCCACAUUGGGACUGAGAUACGGCCCAGACUCCUACGGGAGGCAGCAGUGGGGAAUAUUGCACAAUGGGCGGAAGCCUGAUGCAGCAACGCCGCGUGCGGGAUGACGGCCUUCGGGUUGUAAUCCGCUUUCGCCUGUGACAAAGCGUGAGUGACGGUAAUGGGUAAAGAAGCACCGGCUAACUACGUG